Apodemus sylvaticus (European woodmouse) is the source of this 3326-nucleotide RNA transcript. It is a transcript of the gene named nuclear factor of activated T cells 4, with no coding region annotated. The record is from RefSeq and is a predicted model, not a curated record. NCBI's taxonomy places the organism in Eukaryota, Metazoa, Chordata, Mammalia, Rodentia, Muridae. The transcript is spliced from 10 exons.
AGGGGGCGUCCGGAGGGAGGCGGCCGCGACAGAAGAGGGGGCGUCUCAGAGAAAGGGAGGGAGGGAACUACCCUCGCGUGAAGCUACAGCAGCGUCCAGAGCCUCCCCCUCCCACCCAGGCGGGACCUGGGGGCUCCGGCCGGAUCCAUGGGGGCGGCGAGCUGCGAGGAUGAGGAGCUGGAAUUUAAACUGGUGUUCGGGGAGGAAAAGGAGGCCCCCCCGCUGGGCCCUGGGGGCCCUGGGGAAGAGCUGGACUCAGAGGAUGCCCCUCCAUGCUGUCGUUUGGCCCUGGGGGAACCUCUUCCUUAUGGUGCUGCCCCUAUUGGGAUUCCCCGACCCCCACCCCCUCGGCCAGGGAUGCACUCACCACCACCCCGUCCCGCCCCUUCACCUGGCACCUGGGAGAGCCAGCCAGCUCGGUCGGUGAGGCUGGGGGGCCCAGGAGGUAAUGCAGGGGGUGCUGGGGGCGGUCGUGUUCUUGAGUGUCCCAGCAUCCGGAUCACCUCCAUCUCUCCCACGCCUGACCCACCGACCUCGCUAGAGGACACUCCUGAGACUUGGGGGGACGGCUCUCCUAGAGAUUACCCUCCCCCAGAAGGCUUUGGGGGCUACCGAGAGGCUGGAGGUCAGGGCGGAGGCGCCUUCUUCAGCCCGAGCCCUGGCAGCAGCAGCCUGUCUUCGUGGAGUUUCUUCUCUGAUGCCUCAGACGAAGCAGCCCUGUAUGCAGCAUGCGACGAGGUGGAGUCUGAACUUAAUGAAGCAGCUUCCCGCUUUGGCUUGAGCUCUCCGCUGCCCUCUCCCCGGGCUUCUCCUAGGCCAUGGACCCCGGAGGAUCCGUGGAGUCUAUACGGUCCAAACUCCGGAGGCCGAGCGCCAGAGGAAAGCUGGCUACUCCUCAGCGCUCCUGGGCCCAUCCCAGCCUCCCCUCGGCCUGCUUCUCCCUGCGGCAAGCGGCGCUAUUCCAGUUCCGGAACUCCAUCUUCAGCCUCCCCAGCAUUGUCCCGCCGGGGCAGCCUUGGGGAAGAGGGUCCAGAGCCGCCUCCACCACCCCCGUUGCCUCUGGCCCGGGACCCUAGUUCCCCUGGCCCUUUUGACUAUGUAGCUGCUCCACCAACCGAGAGCAUCCCUCAGAAAACCCGGAGGACUUCUAGCGAGCAAGCAGCGGCCCUGCCUCGGUCUGAGGAGCCUGCCUCGUGCAAUGGGAAGCUGUCCUCCGGUACCGAGGAUGUGGCUGCUCAGGGGGCUCUGCGGAAAGAGGUGGCUGGCAUGGACUACCUAGCAGUGCCUUCUCCCCUUGCUUGGUCCAAGGCCCGAAUUGGGGGACACAGCCCCAUCUUCAGGACCUCUGCCCUCCCUCCCCUGGACUGGCCUCUACCCAGCCAGUACGAGCAGCUGGAGCUGAGGAUUGAGGUACAGCCGAGGGCACACCACCGCGCUCACUAUGAGACCGAGGGCAGCCGGGGAGCUGUGAAAGCGGCCCCCGGGGGCCACCCUGUGGUCAAGCUCCUAGGUUACAGCGAGAAGCCAUUGACUCUACAGAUGUUCAUUGGCACUGCAGAUGAGAGGAGCCUGCGACCACAUGCCUUCUACCAGGUGCACCGUAUUACUGGCAAGAUGGUGGCUACAGCCAGUUAUGAAGCUGUAGUCAGUGGGACCAAAGUGCUGGAGAUGACCUUGCUCCCAGAGAACAACAUGGCUGCCAACAUUGACUGUGCUGGAAUCCUGAAGCUUCGGAAUUCAGACAUCGAGCUGCGGAAGGGUGAGACAGACAUCGGGCGCAAGAACACGCGUGUGCGGCUGGUGUUCCGUGUGCACGUGCCUCAGGGCGGCGGGAAGGUCGUCUCUGUGCAGGCAGCUUCGGUGCCCAUCGAGUGCUCCCAGCGCUCAGCCCAGGAGCUGCCCCAGGUGGAGGCCUACAGCCCCAGUGCCUGCUCCGUGAGAGGAGGGGAGGAGCUAGUGCUGACUGGUUCCAACUUCCUGCCAGACUCUAAAGUGGUGUUCAUUGAGAGGGGUCCCGAUGGAAAACUGCAGUGGGAGGAGGAGGCUGCGGUGAACCGGCUUCAGAGCAGUGAGGUGACAUUGACUCUGACCAUCCCUGAAUACAGCAACAAGCGGGUGUCCCGGCCAGUCCAGGUCUACUUUUAUGUCUCCAAUGGGCGGAGGAAGCGCAGUCCUACCCAAAGUUUCAAGUUCUUGCCUGUGAUCUUCAAGGAGGAGCCCCUACCAGACUCGGCUCUCCGGGCCUUCCCUUCCACAUCGGGUCCCCCCUACGGCCCUGACGUGGACUUCUCACCGCCCAGACCCCCUUACCCCUCCUACCCCCACGAAGACCCUGCUUAUGAGACUCCUUAUCUGUCAGAAGGCUUUGGUUAUAGCACACCGGCUCUGUAUCCCCUGACGGGGCCCCCACCAUCUUAUAGAUCUGGCCUGCGGAUGUUCCCUGAGUCUGGGGGUACCACAGGUUGUGCCCGCCUACCUUCAGUCUCCUUCCUUCCCCGCCCCUUUCCUGGUGAUCAAUAUGGAGGACAGAGCUCCUCUUUUGCCCUGGGGCUUCCAUUUCCCCCUCCAGCCCCCUUUAGGCCUCCACUACCUUCCUCCCCACCACUUGAAGACCCCUUCCAUCCCCAGAGUGCCAUCCACCCCUUACCAGCUGAGGGCUACAAUGAGGUGGGGCCAGGCUAUACCCCUGGGGAGGGGGCUUCGGAGCAGGAGAAAUCCAGGGGUGGCUACAGCAGCGGCUUCAGAGACAGUGUACCUAUCCAGGGUGUCACGCUGGAGGAAGGUGGGUGUGGGACUGGGGGCUGCGAGUGUGAGUGAGCAAGGAGUGCAAGAGAUCGGUUUGUGUGUUUGCUGAAGGCUGGGGCUUGGCUGCUCAGGGGCUUGGCAUUCUUAGUGUCCCAGGGCUACUCAGUGGUCUCAGGAGCAAGUUCUUGGUGUGUAUGUGUAUGUGUGUGUGUGUGUGUGGUCACCUGAAUUCAGCAACUUAAUACUAAGGGUACACAGUAUCUGUUCCACCCUUUUUUUCUGUCUCUGCCCUAGUCACAAAAUUUCAGCCCUGUUAGUAUUUCAAGACCAUUCAUUCCAUCUGUUUCCCUGAAUUGUAGAUCCAGGCAGUGAGUUGCAGGGAGGGACAUGGCUUGUGGAGAGCCAGGCUGAGUAGCUCCCCCCUCAUCUUGUCUUUCCCUGGGGACUACAGUCCGCAUUGGUGAAGAAGACCUUCCUGCUUUAUCUCUAUGUGUGACCUGCUACCAUAGAUUGAGUGAGAUCAUUGGCCGAGACCUGAGUGGCUUCCCUGCGCGUCCUGGAGAAGAGCCUCCUGCCUGAAC